RNAcentral lists this long non-coding RNA (239 nucleotides) under Capsicum annuum. RNAcentral's name for it is "long non-coding RNA (CANN_LNC017934)". The record is from RNAcentral. Lineage: Eukaryota; Viridiplantae; Streptophyta; Magnoliopsida; Solanales; Solanaceae.
AGACUAUAAGUAGGAACCCCUUAGUCUUUUUUUCUUAGUUAGCUUAUUUUAAAUUCACUUUUUAACAUAGAACACCAUAUUUCCUCUCAAGAACAGAGUAGACCACCAAACAUUUUAAGCUUCACAAGUGGAAGGUUCUACUUCUGCUGUGAGAUGGCUAGAAACGAGAGUGCUUGAGUGAACCGAGUUCCUUUUGUGUUCCCAUAAGAACUUGGUUCUUGUUAAUGUGAUUUGUAGCG